AGCAGCCGCGGUAAUUCCAGCUCCAAUAGCGUAUAUUAAAGUUGUUGCAGUUAAAAAGCUCGUAGUUGAAUUUCGGGGUCAGUAGGUCGGUCGUGCCACUGGUAUGAACUGGUUUUACUGAUUCCUCCCUCUUGAAGAACUGUAAUGCCAUUAAUUUGGUGUUGCAGGGAAUCAGGACUGUUACUUUAGAAGAAAUUAGAGUGUUUAAAGCAGGCUUUAGCUUGAAUACAUUAGCAUGGAAUAAUGAAAUAGGACGUUUGAUCCUAUUUUGUUGGUUUCUAGGAUUGACGUAAUGAUUAAUAGAGAUAGUUGGGGCUUAGUAUUCAAUUGUCAGAGUGAAAUUCUUGGAUUUAUUGAAGACUAACUACUGCGAAAAGCAAUUUGCCAAGGAUGUUUUCAUUAAUCAAGAACGAAAGUUAGGGAUCGAAGACGAUCGAAAUACCGUCGUAGUCUUAACCGUAAACUAUACGCCGACUAGGGAUCGGAUGAUGUUAAUUUUUANGUACUNAUUCGGCUCCUU
RNAcentral lists this ribosomal RNA (520 nucleotides) under uncultured Glomus. RNAcentral describes it as "SSU rRNA". It matches the Rfam family "Eukaryotic small subunit ribosomal RNA", at positions 569 to 1089 of the family's 1831-position model. Lineage: Eukaryota; Fungi; Glomeromycota; Glomeromycetes; Glomerales; Glomeraceae. The record is from RNAcentral.